Molecule: non-coding RNA, 2456 nt
Organism: Arvicanthis niloticus (Nile rat)
Lineage: Eukaryota; Metazoa; Chordata; Mammalia; Rodentia; Muridae
Source: RefSeq, a predicted model, not a curated record
CUCGUUCCAGCUGUUACCUGGCACAUCCUCCGUGCCCUCCAUCAGCAUAUCCUUCGUGAAGUUUGAAAUCUGGCCAGUGAGGGAAGCCAAGCUGCCCCCUACUUGACCCAGAGACUGGCCCAAGCCGGAGCCGAGGCCCCCGAGCCAGGACGACAUCGCUGCGGGUGGACACGUCCGCUCCAAAUGUCCCUGGACGCCGAAGCUGGUGCAGAUCCAGACGCUGAGGACUCGCAGGACACGACACUCCCACCAACCGCCGCGUCAGAAAGCCGAGGCCCGGCCUGGCGCUUCACCAAGGGUUCGCCGCUGCGGACACCGUGGCCCCCGCGGGGCCUCUGCUCAUUCCCACGGCUUCCCGCCGUGCGGCUGCACCACUUCUUGCUCAGCUUUACUGACUUUCCUCAGUUUCGUGGGCCAGCCCUGCCAACUCAACGCCGGCCGCCAUGACACCGCCGGGAAAGCGGCAGGGAUCAUAGAGAAGCUCCGCGACGGCGUAGAAGGGCCGCUGACAGAUGCGUCCCGGACGCGAAGGACGGUGGGAUCGCGGAGGACCAAAUAUGGGCCAGCCAGACCCGUGACUUCCGUGUAACCUGCAGAACUUUAGGUGGAGACCAGAGGCAGUGGCAGCAACGGUGGCACUUUCCACCUGCGGAGCUGCUCUUUUUUUGUAAGAGGAAGCAACCCUUGACAGCCGCCUUCUAAUCCUGUCUUCGGGAGCUAUUGCAUCGCUAGAAUUCGAUAGGGUCGUCCCACACCACAGGGAAGCGACCUCAAUCCAUCCACAUUACUCUAUUAUCCAGCCUCUGCGGAUAAUAGAUUAUCCAUGCCAGAGGGUUGGAAACGAGGUUACAAAGCUGAAAGAGCGGGUUGCAAUUCAAGUAUCCAGGCAGAAAACACUUGUUUUGGUGUAUGUUUUCAGUUACCAUGUACUUAAAGGAACAUUGGGAAUACCCACUAGAAUGUGGAAUCCGAUGACAACCCCCCCCCCCCCAAAUUAUCUCUCCCUGAAACUUGAAUAAUUUUCAACAGGUGUCAAUUUGGGUUUAGGGGUUGUCUCCGAGGAGUUUUCAGCUUCUGUGUCCCAGAGCAAGGAAUUGGACAGAGACACGUGGAUAGUAGUAAGGAAGUCAAGAAAAUGGAGUAAAUGACACACACUCAAGGGAAGAAGCAGGGCAGAACACUGUCAGUGAUGGUGGGGUUGAUGAGCUACAUUUUCAGCUUGACUUGGAGAAUUUUUGGUGCUGAAGAUCAAAUCCAGAGACUUGCCCGUGCUUGGCACAUAGGCUUAGCCACACCCUCAGCACUUGUUUGAGACGGAAUCUCCUAUAACCCAGGUAUAAAUCCUCUGGAGCUUCACAUCUGCUGGAACAUGGUCCAAGAAUAAUCCUGUGAGAAUUCUGAGUGCUCGUGAGAAAACUCUAAGACAAGACAAGAAUCUUGUGACCUUAUAGAGGAAUUUGAAUCCAGCAACAUGGCUGCUCUGGCAAGGGAUCACAUCCAAAGACCUUCUAAGUCUACAGGAACCAGCCAGAAUACAGACAAACCCUGGAUUACAGUAUGGCCUGGCUGGAAUACAGACAAACCCUUAGUACACACCUCUUAAUCCCUAACAAUGGAGGUAAGGUUAGUUUGUAGAAGGAAGCAGCCUUCUUUGAAAGUGAUGUCUAAUUAAGGGACAGACAAUGUGACAAAUCAGAGAAAGAUUUGACAGAAUGAGUCAGAGAUUGAAUACACCCAACUCACAUGAGAACAGAACAGGAAAGAGAGGCUAUGAGACAGAGACAGAGAGACAGAGACAGAGAGACAGAGAAACACAGACACAGAGAGACUAAGACAGGGAGACAGAAACAGAAAUAUGUGUGUGGUGAUUUUACCAAGACAGUUUUACAGAAACAAGUUAGACACAGACAAUGACAGAAGGAGCCAGAGAAUGAGGAGGAGCCAGAAGAUUAGAACAUGUUGCCAAAGUUAAGUAUGAGGCCAAGCAGAGCAAUUCAGUCAGAAGCCAAGAGAAGAUUAAAUCAGUCAGCUUGGAAGAUUAGAUUGUACACAGGCUAGAAGCUUCCAGGCCUGCGCCUAAGGAUAGUUAGACAAACACUCUAGGCUCAGCCCAAGCCCUGUACUCGCAUAGCUUGGCUAUGGCUCUCAUCUCAUCCUUUCAUCUGAGGAAAUGAGUGACAUUUACACAAUUUCAGUUUCCUCAAAACCACUCAAUUGGAGUGUGCUUGUGUGUCCCUCCCAGGUGUAGUGCAUAGUGUGAAUUUACUUCAGGUUAUUCAUUGCAACUAGCUGUUGGUAUUUGUUUAUAAGCCUCUAUGGGAAAAACAUGUUUUCUUGCAUGGGGCUUGCCCAUCAUAUUCGGCUUGCCUCUGUGAUCAUACACUUUGCUCAUGUAUCUCCUCUUAAUCGUCAUAGUAUGAUGUCUGAAGAUCUGAAUAAAGUUGUCUAUUACAUGA